AUGAAGACCGCAGCUAAAUGCGCGUCAGAAUGUGAACUGCAGGACACAUGAACACCGACACGUUGAACGCAUAUUGCGCAUCGGACGUUUCAACCCGACCGAUGCACACAUCCUUGAGUGCCUACUCGUUAUCUAUACACUCUUACUAGACUGACAACUAUCKUAAGGAUAGGCUGUCGCAUAUUGACGUGCUAGGACCCGCGGUAGACGGGACCUUGGGCGUUUAAAGUGAGAGAGCUAAUAUGGAAGACUACAUGUAUCGUGAGGUACAUGGUAGUAGGUGAGAGAUGAGAAGACUCGCGACAAGUCGCUAAGGUUCGACCUCAAGUAUCAACCCGGGAUGAAACCCCCGCAGCCUAUCAUCAGGCGCUAGCAAAGGGGUCCUAGGUGGCUCGGGUCGUGUAACACUUGCUUCCCAACGAGUCUAUCUUCAUCGUCUUACGGUGAUAUAAAGGGAAAUUAGCUUCUCUAACGUAGGCCUCAAGUGAUGUGUG
This 494-nucleotide ribosomal RNA is filed under the name Anopheles nivipes. RNAcentral describes it as "eukaryotic LSU rRNA". The stretch from base 1 to 123 matches the Rfam family "5.8S ribosomal RNA", at positions 36 to 154 of the family's 154-position model. Lineage: Eukaryota; Metazoa; Arthropoda; Insecta; Diptera; Culicidae. The record is from RNAcentral.